GUUAUAUGGUCAAGUGAAGAAGCGCAUACGGUGGAUGCCUUGGCAGUCAGAGGCGAUGAAAGACGUGGUAGCCUGCGAAAAGCUUCGGGGAGUCGGCAAACAGACUUUGAUCCGGAGAUGUCUGAAUGGGGGAACCCAGCCAUCAUAAGAUGGUUAUCUUGUACUGAAUACAUAGGUGCAAGAGGCGAACCAGGGGAACUGAAACAUCUAAGUACCCUGAGGAAAAGAAAUCAACCGAGAUUCCCUUAGUAGUGGCGAGCGAACGGGGACUAGCCCUUAAGUGGCUUUGAGAUUAGCGGAACGCUCUGGAAAGUGCGGCCAUAGUGGGUGAUAGCCCUGUACGCGAAAAUCUCUUAGUCAUGAAAUCGAGUAGGACGGAGCACGAGAAACUUUGUCUGAAUAUGGGGGGACCAUCCUCCAAGGCUAAAUACUACUGACUGACCGAUAGUGAACUAGUACCGUGAGGGAAAGGCGAAAAGAACCCCGGAGAGGGGAGUGAAAUAGAUCCUGAAACCGUAUGCGUACAAGCAGUGGGAGCAGACUUUGUUCUGUGACUGCGUACCUUUUGUAUAAUGGGUCAGCGACUUAUUUUCAGUGGCGAGCUUAACCGAAUAGGGGAGGCGUAGCGAAAGCGAGUCUUAAUAGGGCGUCUAGUCGCUGGGAAUAGACCCGAAACCGGGCGAUCUAUCCAUGGGCAGGUUGAAGGUUAGGUAACACUGACUGGAGGACCGAACCGACUACCGUUGAAAAGUUAGCGGAUGACCUGUGGAUCGGAGUGAAAGGCUAAUCAAGCUCGGAGAUAGCUGGUUCUCCUCGAAAGCUAUUUAGGUAGCGCCUCAUGUAUCACUGUAGGGGGUAGAGCACUGUUUCGGCUAGGGGGUCAUCCCGACUUACCAAACCGAUGCAAACUCCGAAUACCUACAAGUGCCGAGCAUGGGAGACACACGGCGGGUGCUAACGUCCGUCGUGAAAAGGGAAACAACCCAGACCGUCAGCUAAGGUCCCAAAGUUAUGGUUAAGUGGGAAACGAUGUGGGAAGGCUUAGACAGCUAGGAGGUUGGCUUAGAAGCAGCCACCCUUUAAAGAAAGCGUAAUAGCUCACUAGUCGAGUCGGCCUGCGCGGAAGAUGUAACGGGGCUCAAACCAUACACCGAAGCUACGGGUAUCACGUAAGUGAUGCGGUAGAGGAGCGUUCUGUAAGCCUGUGAAGGUGAGUUGAGAAGCUUGCUGGAGGUAUCAGAAGUGCGAAUGCUGACAUGAGUAACGACAAUGGGUGUGAAAAACACCCACGCCGAAAGACCAAGGUUUCCUGCGCAACGUUAAUCGACGCAGGGUUAGUCGGUCCCUAAGGCGAGGCUGAAAAGCGUAGUCGAUGGAAAACAGGUUAAUAUUCCUGUACUUCUGGUUAUUGCGAUGGAGGGACGGAGAAGGCUAGGCCAGCUUGGCGUUGGUUGUCCAAGUUUAAGGUGGUAGGCUGGAAUCUUAGGUAAAUCCGGGAUUCUAAGGCCGAGAGCUGAUGACGAGUUGCCAUUAGGCGACGAAGUGGUUGAUGCCAUGCUUCCAAGAAAAGCUUCUAAGCUUCAGGUAACCAGGAACCGUACCCCAAACCGACACAGGUGGUUGGGUAGAGAAUACCAAGGCGCUUGAGAGAACUCGGGUGAAGGAACUAGGCAAAAUGGCACCGUAACUUCGGGAGAAGGUGCGCCGGUGAGGGUGAAGGACUUGCUCCGUAAGCCCAUGCCGGUCGAAGAUACCAGGCCGCUGCGACUGUUUAUUAAAAACACAGCACUCUGCAAACACGAAAGUGGACGUAUAGGGUGUGACGCCUGCCCGGUGCCGGAAGGUUAAUUGAUGGGGUUAGCUAACGCGAAGCUCUUGAUCGAAGCCCCGGUAAACGGCGGCCGUAACUAUAACGGUCCUAAGGUAGCGAAAUUCCUUGUCGGGUAAGUUCCGACCUGCACGAAUGGCGUAACGAUGGCGGCGCUGUCUCCACCCGAGACUCAGUGAAAUUGAAAUCGCUGUGAAGAUGCAGUGUAUCCGCGGCUAGACGGAAAGACCCCGUGAACCUUUACUAUAGCUUUGCACUGGACUUUGAAUUUGCUUGUGUAGGAUAGGUGGGAGGCUUUGAAGCGUGAACGCCAGUUUGCGUGGAGCCAUCCUUGAAAUACCACCCUGGCAACUUUGAGGUUCUAACUCAGGUCCGUUAUCCGGAUCGAGGACAGUGUAUGGUGGGUAGUUUGACUGGGGCGGUCUCCUCCUAAAGAGUAACGGAGGAGUACGAAGGUGCGCUCAGACCGGUCGGAAAUCGGUCGUAGAGUAUAAAGGCAAAAGCGCGCUUGACUGCGAGACAGACACGUCGAGCAGGUACGAAAGUAGGUCUUAGUGAUCCGGUGGUUCUGUAUGGAAGGGCCAUCGCUCAACGGAUAAAAGGUACUCCGGGGAUAACAGGCUGAUACCGCCCAAGAGUUCAUAUCGACGGCGGUGUUUGGCACCUCGAUGUCGGCUCAUCACAUCCUGGGGCUGAAGCCGGUCCCAAGGGUAUGGCUGUUCGCCAUUUAAAGUGGUACGCGAGCUGGGUUUAGAACGUCGUGAGACAGUUCGGUCCCUAUCUGCCGUGGACGUUUGAGAUUUGAGAGGGGCUGCUCCUAGUACGAGAGGACCGGAGUGGACGAACCUCUGGUGUUCCGGUUGUCACGCCAGUGGCAUUGCCGGGUAGCUAUGUUCGGAAAAGAUAACCGCUGAAAGCAUCUAAGCGGGAAACUUGCCUCAAGAUGAGAUCUCACUGGAACCUUGAGUUCCCUGAAGGGCCGUCGAAGACUACGACGUUGAUAGGUUGGGUGUGUAAGCGCUGUGAGGCGUUGAGCUAACCAAUACUAAUUGCCCGUGAGGCUUGACCAUAUAACACCCAAGCAAUU
This 2915-nucleotide ribosomal RNA is filed under the name Pseudomonas sp. FW215-L1. RNAcentral's name for it is "bacterial LSU rRNA". It matches the Rfam family "Bacterial large subunit ribosomal RNA". RNAcentral also lists the same sequence under 3 other names. Lineage: Bacteria; Pseudomonadati; Pseudomonadota; Gammaproteobacteria; Pseudomonadales; Pseudomonadaceae. The record is from RNAcentral.